GAGAUAUUAGUAAAAACAAUUACAUAACUUUGUCAAAGUUAAGUUAUAGAUUACUCCUAUAUAUCUUA
RNAcentral lists this transfer RNA (68 nucleotides) under Rhynchomys isarogensis (Isarog shrew-rat). Its description in RNAcentral is "tRNA-Asp". Lineage: Eukaryota; Metazoa; Chordata; Mammalia; Rodentia; Muridae. The record is from RNAcentral.